CCUACGGGAGGCAGCAGUGAGGAAUAUUGGUCAAUGGGCGGAAGCCUGAACCAGCCAAGUAGCGUGCGGGAUGAAGGCCCUACGGGUCGUAAACCGCUUUUGCACGGGGAUAACACCCUCCACUUGUGGAGGUCUGCAGGUACCGUGCGAAUAAGGGCCGGCUAAUUCCGUGCCAGCAGCCGCGGUAAUACGGAAGGCCCGAGCGUUAUCCGGAUUCAUUGGGUUUAAAGGGAGCGUAGGCGGGCGUUCAAGUCAGCGGUAAAAUCGCGCGGCUCAACCGCGCCCCGCAGUUGAAACUGGACGCAUUGAGUUCACAACAGGCAGGCGGAAUGCGUGGUGUAGCGGUGAAAUGCAUAGAUAUCACGAGGAACCCCGAUUGCGAAGGCAGCCUGCCGGGGUGCGACUGACGCUGAGGCUCGAAGGUGCGGGUAUCAAACAGGAUUAGAUACCCCAGUAGUC
RNAcentral lists this ribosomal RNA (459 nucleotides) under uncultured bacterium. Its description in RNAcentral is "partial 16S ribosomal RNA". It matches the Rfam family "Bacterial small subunit ribosomal RNA", at positions 338 to 795 of the family's 1533-position model. The record is from RNAcentral.